Myotis davidii is the source of this 1382-nucleotide long non-coding RNA. RefSeq lists it as uncharacterized. The transcript is spliced from 2 exons. NCBI's taxonomy places the organism in Eukaryota, Metazoa, Chordata, Mammalia, Chiroptera, Vespertilionidae. The record is from RefSeq and is a predicted model, not a curated record.
UUGACGAUGGAGGCUAUUUCGUGCAGCAGACGGUAGUUUAGAAAUGGAGAGAGAAAAUCUGCAGUAUCUUUGCCAGUUGUCAGAUGGUGGAAACACAACAAAGGAACGGGCUUUUGAAACUUAUUUGGGGAAAGGUUGAUAAGAAGCCCAAAAUAUUCCAGGAUCUGACUUGGGCACUUGAUCCUCUACUUCAAGUAUUCUCGGCUCAAAAGUUAUUAAGGGCAUCAAGACGAUGACUUUUACGUGCUUUGAGUUUCGGUGCCAUGGAAAGACUCCCCCCUGGGGUAGGAGGUAGUGAAAACAUUGGUGGCCGGAUUUAAAAGAACAACAGCCUACAGUGUCUGUCAAGGUAUUCUGAGGCGAUUGAGAAGAUUUCAGCUUUAGGAGGGUCUCUACUAAAAUAAGAAGAAAACCCCGCGUCCUCGGUUUUGUUUCUGAAGUGCUGGUUCUCCAUGAUUUUCUUCUUUUACCCUUUUCUGUUUCAGCAUUCUGCUUUCCCUCAGUGGUACAAGUGAAUUGCUCUUAAUAUCCCUUUUGUUCCAGGCCAGAUUUGUAGCACUUGCGUUGAUAGCAAAUAUAAUGUAAAUUUCCAGUGAGUUUUGCAAGGAAAAAACUUCCACUUAGCUCCUUGGCGAAGGGUCCUUCAAAUUUAUUAGCUGGUCCUGAUAGUUUUAAAAAGGAAAUGUUUUGGAAGCUAACAGAGAACCCAAAUGUGUGUCGUUAAACUUGCUCUUUCUAUCUCAUUCUCAGCUGAAAUCAUGGCCUUACUCAUUUCUUGGUAAAGAAUUUUGAUGUAAGUAUUCUUUCUUAAAGACGUGGGUAUAAGGUAGUUUAGUACAUUUCAGAAACUAAAACUUGCCUCAUAAAUUUAUUUUGGGUGUGAUAGUUGUUGAUUGGUUAGGAAGACAUUAAGUUGUUCUACUAACAUCAUUUAUUUCGUAAAAAAUAGUUUUUCAUUCCUAGUUACAGGUGUGUCUGAGUUAAGCUCCUUGCGUGCCUUCAAGAGUUUGUGGCUUCGGUCUCCCUGAAUCUGGAGUCCAGUCAGAGCUCGAUGCCUGUCACCCUGGCCCUCUGACCGUGGUCUGCUCACUUGACCUCUUGAAUCUGCUUUUCCAUCAGGGAGGUGUCCUCACCUGUGAAAUGAGGAACAGCAGCGAGGGCUCCAUUCUCUCAGAGUCUGGCUGCGAAGAUGAGAUGAGGCGCUGGUGUGAAAGCCUGGUCCCCCGGUCGAUAACUACCUUUAUUCGUUGAGAACUUUGCAGUGAGAUCGGAGAACACUGGUGAGAGGGAAGUCCUCCUUGUUUUGCUUCUGUCCACACAACUAUGUUUUCUUUAUAAAAACUCUUGUCAACUUCAAUGAAAAAUAAAUUUUUCUAGUAUAA